RNAcentral lists this ribosomal RNA (467 nucleotides) under uncultured bacterium. RNAcentral's name for it is "bacterial SSU rRNA". It matches the Rfam family "Bacterial small subunit ribosomal RNA", at positions 27 to 509 of the family's 1533-position model. The record is from RNAcentral.
GGACGAACGCUGGCGGCACGCCUAACACAUGCAAGUCGAACGGACGAGAAGGAGCUUGCUCCUUCAAGUUAGUGGCGGACGGGUGAGUAACACGUGAGCAACCUGCCUUUAAGAGAGGGAUAGCUUCUGGAAACGGAUGGUAAUACCUCAUAAUAUAGCGUUACCGCAUGAUAAUGCUAUCAAAGAUUUAUCGCUUAAAGAUGGGCUCGCGUCUGAUUAGAUAGUUGGUGAGGUAACGGCUCACCAAGUCGACGAUCAGUAGCCGGACUGAGAGGUUGAACGGCCACAUUGGGACUGAGACACGGCCCAGACUCCUACGGGAGGCAGCAGUGGGGAAUAUUGCACAAUGGGGGAAACCCUGAUGCAGCGAUGCCGCGUGGAGGAAGAAGGUUUUCGGAUUGUAAACUCCUUUUGUCAGGGAAGAUAAUGACUGUACCUGACGAAUAAGCUCCGGCUAACUACGUGCC